UACGUAGGUGGCAAGCGUUAUCCGGAUUUAUUGGGCGUAAAGGGAACGCAGGCGGUCUUUUAAGUCUGAUGUGAAAGCCUUCGGCUUAACCGGAGUAGUGCAUUGGAAACUGGGAGACUUGAGUGCAGAAGAGGAGAGUGGAACUCCAUGUGUAGCGGUGAAAUGCGUAGAUAUAUGGAAGAAAACCAGUGGCGAAAGCGGCUCUCUGGUCUGUAACUGACGCUGAGGUUCGAAAGCGUGGGUAGCAAACAGG
This 253-nucleotide ribosomal RNA is filed under the name uncultured bacterium. RNAcentral's name for it is "partial 16S ribosomal RNA". It matches the Rfam family "Bacterial small subunit ribosomal RNA", at positions 524 to 776 of the family's 1533-position model. The record is from RNAcentral.